Photinus pyralis (common eastern firefly) is the source of this 331-nucleotide long non-coding RNA. RefSeq lists it as uncharacterized. The transcript has 3 exons. The record is from RefSeq and is a predicted model, not a curated record. NCBI's taxonomy places the organism in Eukaryota, Metazoa, Arthropoda, Insecta, Coleoptera, Lampyridae.
UACGGUCAGUCGUUAAAUGGACAACAAAAUAAAUCAAUCAAGAAACAAACUAUCUGGUAAGAAAACUGUAUGGCAAUGGUUCAUACAAUGUUGGACCGAUACCCCUUCGCUCGGCUCAAAACCGGAGAGCAUAAGGAUUAUUAGGGCGCCAGGGUUGCGUUGGACAAAUUAGGGACUACUAGAAAUGAAAAAGAGGUGAAUGUUUGAGUGGGUGUUGUGGGGUUUUACCGGAGAUCUCUUACAGAUUGCGUAUGUCGUGAUUACUUCACAAUAUGUUUUGUGUUGGAUGAUUAAUGAGGACUCGGUGAAGGUUACCAAACGACGGUGUUGG